Molecule: small RNA, 601 nt
Filed under: Naganishia diffluens
Lineage: Eukaryota; Fungi; Basidiomycota; Tremellomycetes; Filobasidiales; Filobasidiaceae
Description: eukaryotic LSU rRNA
Rfam family: 5.8S ribosomal RNA (bases 213-366)
Source: RNAcentral
AGAGGAAGUAAAAGUCGUAACAAGGUUUCCGUAGGUGAACCUGCGGAAGGAUCAUUAAUGAUUAACUGUCUGUCGAGCUUGCUCACAGACUUAUCAUAUCCAUAACACCUGUGCACUUGUCGGAUGGCUUAGUGAAGACCGCAAGGUUGGAUCUAUCCAUCUACUUUACAUAACAAUUUAGUAACAAAUGUAGUCUUAUUAUAACAUAAUAAAACUUUCAACAACGGAUCUCUUGGCUCUCGCAUCGAUGAAGAACGCAGCGAAAUGCGAUAAGUAAUGUGAAUUGCAGAAUUCAGUGAAUCAUCGAAUCUUUGAACGCACCUUGCGCUCCCUGGUAUUCCGGGGAGCAUGCCUGUUUGAGUGUCAUGAAAACCCUCAACCUUAGAUUGGUUAACACCUUUCUUUGGCUUGGAUUUGGACGUUUGCCGAUGAUAAGUCGGCUCGUCUUAAAAGUAAUAGCUGGAUCUGUCUCGCGACAUGGUUUGACUUGGCGUAAUAAGUAUUUCGCUAAGGACAUCUUCGGAUGGCCGCGUUGCAAGACUAAAGACCGCUUUCUAAUCCAUUGAUCUUCGGAUUAAUAUUCUUGACAUCUGGCCUCAAA